Molecule: transfer RNA, 611 nt
Filed under: Leptolyngbya sp. GSE-PSE30-01B
Lineage: Bacteria; Bacillati; Cyanobacteriota; Cyanophyceae; Leptolyngbyales; Leptolyngbyaceae
Description: 16S-23S ribosomal RNA intergenic spacer
Rfam family: tRNA (bases 239-311)
Source: RNAcentral
UUUAGGGAGACCUAACCCUCUUUUUCGAAAGAUGUCCUUGGGCAUCAGAUAAGUAGAAAAAGACUGGUCAUCUCAAGGUCGGUCAGUGUUGUUAGUGUUGGCUUUCAAACUUAUAUGUCUGGUUUGGGUAAACAAAAUUCGAACCAACAAGGGCUAUUAGCUCAGGUGGUUAGAGCGCACCCCUGAUAAGGGUGAGGUCCCUGGUUCGAGUCCAGGAUGGCCCACCUCCUAUCGUUAUGGGGGUUUAGCUCAGUUGGUAGAGCGCCUGCUUUGCAAGCAGGAUGUCAGCGGUUCGAGUCCGCUAACCUCCACUGAUUUGAAUACAGCAAUUGUUUUAGUUUGAUUUGUUUUGAUGAAUCGAGACUAAGCAACCUGCUGGAUUGCAAAUCCAGUCAGAACCAAGAAAACUGCAUAAGAAAUUAGGUAGGUAGUGACGUUAAUUGCGUUCGAGCGUGCAGCCUGUACGACUUGCCCGUAGAUUAACGAUUCACAGACACCAAUGUGAUUAGAAAGUGAUUAACUGGAUGCAAACUUUAUGCUUCCUAGAAUCAUGAACUAAUGACUGGCGCAAGCCAGAGAUUAGGAAUUGAAACUAACGAAGGUAAAGCAGA